This 1484-nucleotide long non-coding RNA is filed under the name Polistes fuscatus (common paper wasp). RNAcentral's name for it is "uncharacterized LOC122526178, transcript variant X2". Lineage: Eukaryota; Metazoa; Arthropoda; Insecta; Hymenoptera; Vespidae. The record is from RNAcentral.
CCUAUAAAAAAUAGUGAAGGAAAUAUUACAGAAAACACAACAAAUGGCUAUGUAUCAGAAGACACUAAUUGUACGGCUAAUUCGAGUGAAUUAUUUUCAGAUAAUGAGAAUGAGAAUACAAAUGAAAAUGAUUUAAUAUGUUAUACACCUAAUGUUUCAAAAACUGUUAAAAGACUUCGUUUUUGAAUAUCUCUGAAACGUUUUUAUUAGAUACCAAUAAACUAUUCCAGACUCCAAGUGUAGAGAAACCAGCAGUUAUUCCAAGUACACUGUUAAGUUUAUUACCAUUUAUAUCAAAGAUUAAUGAGCAGUGGACAUCUGAUUUAGAAACAUCUCAAAUGAAUAAAAGUUUUCCUAUAAAAUCAUCAGAAAGUAUCGAACAAACUGUUUAUUUAAAAGAAUGUAUUCCAAAUAAUUCACAUUUUAAGAAUAUAUUUGAAGAACCUACAUCGACGUCUCCUGUAAUAAAUUAUACAAGAAUGAGAUGAAGAACUAAAAGGAGAAUUUUUAAGAAUACUUUUGCUAACAUGAACGUUGUUAAAAUUGGAUUGAAUAAUCAAGAUAGUGAAAAUGAUAUUGUAGCUAUGGAUACAUAUAGGGAUAAAGAGAAGAAAAAUAUUCUUCUGAAAAUUAAUAGCGGUGCGCUGUUUUUCUCUGAUGCUUGUUUGCUAGCAUAGAUUAAGUUUGUGCUAGCGCUUCGCUGUGGAAAAUGAUGAUAAUGUGACAGAUAUAUUGCGAAAGUGUCUUGAAGCUAUUUCAGAACAACUUAUCGAUCGAGGUAUAUCAUAAGAAAUUUUAACAAUCACAUUUACUACAACUUUAUCAUUAAAAUUUCGCUGUAUUGAUUUUUAUAGAGAAGAAAUCAUUUACUAUAAUUCAAGUGGUUUGGUGAUAGAAGAUGGUGGAUAUCUUAUAUCAGAUAAAGAUAAUUGUAUAGGAAUCUCUAAAAUUAAAUGAUCCUUUCUUGCAAAUCCAGGAAUUUAUCUGAGUCUUAUUCCUAGAAAUUGAAUUGAAAAUUACAAAUGGAUUAUUUGGAAACUAAUACCAUGGAUUUAAAUUUAAUUUUAUUUGCAUAUCUAGAUCGCAAAGGUCAUGUUUAAGAAGGAUAUUGGAAAAAGAUGAUUGUGCAUCCAAACGAAUGGUUUUAUGUGUAUUAUCUAUUACUGAGUCCAGAGAUGACAAAAAUAAAGAAUCUAGUACAAUAGUAUCAAACAUAAAUUAUUGGAAAAUAAUAUUAACAGAUGGAUGGUAUAGCAUUCCUGCUUUUAUUGAUACAACCAUGAUGAGUUACGUAACAUCUGGAAAAAUACGCGAAGAUUCCACACGAUGUAUCAUUAAGAAUUCAUACCAAUUUAACCAGAAGAACUAAAUGGGAUACUAAAUUAGGGUAUACACAUUGUCUUGGACCUAUGCUAAUUAAAUUAAAAAAUGUAUGCCCUAGUGGUGGUUUAGUUGGAAAACUUAAAGUUAUGAUUACUAGAACA